This 301-nucleotide ribosomal RNA is filed under the name uncultured bacterium. RNAcentral describes it as "partial 16S ribosomal RNA". It matches the Rfam family "Bacterial small subunit ribosomal RNA", at positions 509 to 807 of the family's 1533-position model. The record is from RNAcentral.
CAGUCGCCGCGGUAAUACGAAGGGGGCUAGCGUUGCUCGGAAUGACUGGGCGUAAAGGGCGCGUAGGCGGAUGGCACAGUCAGAUGUGAAAUUCCUGGGCUUAACCUGGGGGCUGCAUUUGAUACGUGUUGUCUAGAGUGUGAAAGAGGGUCGUGGAAUUCCCAGUGUAGAGGUGAAAUUCGUAGAUAUUGGGAAGAACACCGGUGGCGAAGGCGGCGACCUGGUUCAUGACUGACGCUGAGGCGCGAAAGCGUGGGGAGCAAACAGGAUUAGAUACCCGUGUAGUCCCUGUCUCUUAUAC